RNAcentral lists this ribosomal RNA (327 nucleotides) under Triticum aestivum (bread wheat). RNAcentral describes it as "partial small subunit ribosomal RNA". The record is from RNAcentral. Lineage: Eukaryota; Viridiplantae; Streptophyta; Magnoliopsida; Poales; Poaceae.
AUGCCUCGAGCGCACCGCACCACGCGAGGAAAAAAAUCACCGCAUCGCCCCGCGCGUGAAAAAAAAAACAGCCAGGAUGCAGCGCACCACGCGAGGAAAAAACCACCGCACCGCGCGAGGGACGCGCUCGACGGCCGUGGUGAGCCCCGUGCCCGUCCUCUUUCUCCUCCAUCCCCGUUCCCUCAUCUAACCCUAAAUCUCGCCCCAACCGUCUCUUUCCUCCCCGCGCCGCCUGCCCCGGAUCUGGAGGAAGAGGAGGGAGGCAGGAUCUGGAGGAGGAAGAGGAGAUCCGGGCGUCCCGACGGUGGCUCGACCGAUGCGAGGUGA